AAUGGGGGCAACCCUGAUCCAGCAAUGCCGCGUGUGUGAAGAAGGCCUGCGGGUUGUAAAGCACUUUCAGUGAGGAAGAAGGGUAUUAGGUUAAGAGCUAGAUACUUUGACAUAACUCACAGAAGAAGCACCGGCUAACUCUGUGCCAGCAGCCGCGGUAAUACAGAGGGUGCGAGCGUUAAUCGGAAUUACUGGGCGUAAAGGGUGCGUAGGUGGAAAGAUAAGUUGGUUGUAGAAUUCCCGGGCUCAACCUGGGCAUGUCAAUCAAAACUAUCUAUCUAGAGUGCAGUAGAGGGAAGUGGAAUUUCCGGUGUAGCGGUGAAAUGCGUAGAUAUCGGAAGGAACACCAGUGGCGAAGGCGACUUUCUGGACUGUAACUGACACUGAGGCACGAAAGCGUGGGGAGCGAACAGGAUU
RNAcentral lists this ribosomal RNA (417 nucleotides) under uncultured Gammaproteobacteria bacterium. RNAcentral's name for it is "bacterial SSU rRNA". It matches the Rfam family "Bacterial small subunit ribosomal RNA", at positions 370 to 779 of the family's 1533-position model. The record is from RNAcentral. Lineage: Bacteria; Pseudomonadati; Pseudomonadota; Gammaproteobacteria.